RNAcentral lists this ribosomal RNA (248 nucleotides) under uncultured bacterium. Its description in RNAcentral is "partial 16S ribosomal RNA". It matches the Rfam family "Bacterial small subunit ribosomal RNA", at positions 109 to 353 of the family's 1533-position model. The record is from RNAcentral.
AGUAACACGUGGGUAACCUGCCUUAUAGUGGGGGAUAGCCUUUCGAAAGGAAGAUUAAUACCGCAUAAGAUUGUAGUAUCGCAUGAUAUAGUAAUUAAAGGAGCAAUUCGCUAUAAGAUGGACCCGCGUCGCAUUAGCUAGUUGGUGAGGUAAUGGCUCACCAAGGCGACGAUGCGUAGCCGACCCGAGAGGGUGAUCGGCCACAUUGGGACUGAGACACGGCCCAGACUCCUACGGGAGGCAGCAUG